Non-coding RNA from Lolium perenne, 1183 nucleotides. The record is from RefSeq and is a predicted model, not a curated record. Lineage: Eukaryota; Viridiplantae; Streptophyta; Magnoliopsida; Poales; Poaceae.
AGAGAGGAGGCUAUGUAGGGAGGAGGAGCAAUCUGAGGAGGAGGUGCGGCAACAGUAGCAAGUGGUGGUCUGGUACCUCCAUCCCUAGCCCCUCUACAUCAUUCAACCGCCGGCUGGCCGGCUCAGCCUUUUUCGGCCCCAUCUCUCCUCCUCUACAUCCUUGCGAUUCAAGAUAAGGUGCUCGAGGAAAAUCAAACGAAGCUGUAGGUACAGAGUUGGAACUGGAGCUACGAGUUUGGAUAAAGUAGGUGGAUAAACAUUUACGUUUAUUUGAUGGGUCUUACCUAUUUGGUUUCGCUUCCAAUGCAAUGGGGUGCACGACGGGGUGUGCGAGGUACUGGCCAUCUCAGAGUUGAGCUAUGCGUUUCUAAGUGCACUUUGUUUCUCCCUUUGCAACGACGUGACUUUAGCGGCUCUGAGUUCUCUGAGACGAUUGACCUAAAGCAGGGUUCCAUAUUCAUUGAUUCUCGAAGAGUUCCUUUAUUCGUACCACGGUUGAUUUAUACAUAUCGGUUUGACCCUGAUUUUGUUGAAUUUCAUGGGAAAUGUUGCGAAGAUCAGCCCUAGAUAUGGACACAUCACGUGACAUGCUCUUUCUCUAUGGAACUUUCAAUAUUGCAAUGGAAACAAGAAAUUUUAUUGAAGUUUGUUUUCGAGGACCUUGAGUAAAUAGGGAAUCCACCAGGGGGGAACCAUCUGACCUAAAGGUUAAAGAAAGCAUGCCAUCCUUAUUUUCAGAUAACCGUUGAUGUAGUUAUGCACGUGUUUUAAAUGCUACUGCUGUAGUUUUCAAAAUAGGAUCAUAUAUGUGUUCAGGUCCCCUUCCAGUUUUAUCUCAUCAUCUUCUAUCAUGCUUAACUUUUUAUUUAUUUAGACUAAGGCCAAGUGGUGGGAGUCCAUUUGUGCAGCAGCUCGCAUAACCUAUCAGUCUCCUAGGUUUACAAGCUGCAAGGUGGAUAAGUUUAUCCCUAUGGGAUGUCAUGAGGCUGCUUCUGUGAUGAAAGGUUCAGUGUUAGCUUUUAUGUUCUCCACACAGAAGGUUAUUGGAGGUUUCUACUUAAUGAGCAUUGAUUUUCUCAGGUUUCAGUCAUCCAUGCCGUCUAUUUACAAGCGGCAAAACCAUCAGUUUUUAAGUAAGCUAAUGGACUGGGCAUUGGUGACACAGUUGGAGCACGGAAAUGCA